This 482-nucleotide ribosomal RNA is filed under the name uncultured bacterium. RNAcentral describes it as "partial 16S ribosomal RNA". It matches the Rfam family "Bacterial small subunit ribosomal RNA", at positions 28 to 523 of the family's 1533-position model. The record is from RNAcentral.
GACGAACGCUGGCGGCGUGCUUAACACAUGCAAGUCGAACGAUGAAACCUAGCUUGCUAGGUCGAUUAGUGGCGAACGGGUGAGUAACACGUGACUAACCUGCCCCUUUCUCUGGGAUAACGCUCCGAAAGGAGUGCUAAUACCGGAUACUCACAUCGAGGCACAUGCCUUGGUGUGGAAAGUUUUUCGGAAAGGGAUGGAGUCGCGGCCUAUCAGCUUGUUGGUGAGGUAACGGCUCACCAAGGCGACGGCGGGUAGCCGGCCUGAGAGGGAGACCGGCCACACUGGGACUGAGACACGGCCCAGACUCCUACGGGAGGCAGCAGUGGGGAAUAUUGCACAAUGGGCGCAAGCCUGAUGCAGCGACGCCGCGUGAGGGAUGAAGGUCUUCGGAUUGUAAACCUCUUUCAGUAGGGACGAAGCGAAAGUGACGGUACCUAAAGAAGAAGCACCGGCUAACUACGUGCCAGCCGCCGCCGUAA